RNAcentral lists this ribosomal RNA (468 nucleotides) under uncultured bacterium. Its description in RNAcentral is "partial 16S ribosomal RNA". It matches the Rfam family "Bacterial small subunit ribosomal RNA", at positions 28 to 507 of the family's 1533-position model. The record is from RNAcentral.
GACGAACGCUGGCGGCGUGCUUAACACAUGCAAGUCGAACGGAAAGGCCCUGCUUUUGUGUGGUGCUCGAGUGGCGAACGGGUGAGUAACACGUGAGUAACCUGCCCUGUACUUUGUGAUAACUUCAGGAAACUGGUGCUAAUACCGGAUAGGAGCUCCUGCUGCAUGGUGGGGGUUGGAAAGUUUCGGCGGUUGGGGAUGGACUCGCGGCUUAUCAGCUUGUUGGUGGGGUAGUGGCUUACCAAGGCUUUGACGGGUAGCCGGCCUGAGAGGGUGACCGGCCACAUUGGGACUGCGAUACGGACCAGACUCCUACGGGAGGCAGCAGUGGGGAAUAUUGCACAAUGGGCGGAAGCCUGAUGCAGAAACGCCGCGUGCGGGAUGACGGCCUUCGGGUUGUAAACCGCUUUCGCCUGUGACGAAGCGUGAGUGACGGUAAUGGGUAAAGAAGCACCGGCUAACUACGUG